RNAcentral lists this ribosomal RNA (250 nucleotides) under uncultured bacterium. RNAcentral's name for it is "partial 16S ribosomal RNA". It matches the Rfam family "Bacterial small subunit ribosomal RNA", at positions 524 to 773 of the family's 1533-position model. The record is from RNAcentral.
CACGUAGGGUGCGAGCGUUGUCCGGAUUAUUGGGCGUAAAGAGCGUGUAGGCGGCCAGGUAGGUCUGCUGUGAAAACUCGAGGCUUAACCUCGAGCUGUCGGCGGAAACCAUCUGGCUAGAGUCCGGAAGAGGAGAAUGGAAUUCCCGGUGUAGCGGUGAAAUGCGCAGAUAUCGGGAAGAACACCCGUGGCGAAGGCGGUUCUCUGGGACGGUACUGACGCUGAGGUGCGAAAGCGUGGGGGAGCAAAC